UACGUAGGGUGCGAGCGUUAAUCGGAAUUACUGGGCGUAAAGCGUGCGCAGGCGGUUCGCUGUGUCCGAUGUGAAAGCCCCGGGCUUAACCUGGGAAUGGCAUUGGAAACUGGCGGGCUUGAGUGCGGCAGAGGGGGGUGGAAUUCCGCGUGUAGCAGUGAAAUGCGUAGAUAUCGGGAGGAACACCUGUGGCGAAAGCGGCUCACUGGACCAUAACUGACGCUGAGGCACGAAAGCUAGGGGAGCAAACAGG
This 253-nucleotide ribosomal RNA is filed under the name uncultured bacterium. RNAcentral's name for it is "partial 16S ribosomal RNA". It matches the Rfam family "Bacterial small subunit ribosomal RNA", at positions 524 to 776 of the family's 1533-position model. The record is from RNAcentral.